UGGGGAAUAUUGGACAAUGGGCGAAAGCCUGAUCCAGCAAUGCCGCGUGAGUGAUGAAGGCCUUAGGGUUGUAAAGCUCUUUUACCCGGGAAGAUAAUGACUGUACCGGGAGAAUAAGCCCCGGCUAACUCCGUGCCAGCAGCCGCGGUAAUACGGAGGGGGCUAGCGUUGUUCGGAAUUACUGGGCGUAAAGCGUACGUAGGCGGUGAUUCAAGUCAGAGGUGAAAGCCCGGAGCUCAACUUCGGAAUAGCCUUUGAAACUAGAUCGCUUGAACGUCGGAGAGGUGAGUGGAAUUCCGAGUGUAGAGGUGAAAUUCGUAGAUAUUCGGAAGAACACCAGUGGCGAAGGCGGCUCACUGGACGACUGUUGACGCUGAGGUACGAAAGCGUGGGGAGCAAACA
Molecule: ribosomal RNA, 402 nt
Filed under: uncultured Rhizorhapis sp.
Lineage: Bacteria; Pseudomonadati; Pseudomonadota; Alphaproteobacteria; Sphingomonadales; Sphingomonadaceae
Description: bacterial SSU rRNA
Rfam family: Bacterial small subunit ribosomal RNA
Source: RNAcentral